This 1683-nucleotide ribosomal RNA is filed under the name Triticum aestivum (bread wheat). RNAcentral describes it as "partial small subunit ribosomal RNA". The record is from RNAcentral. Lineage: Eukaryota; Viridiplantae; Streptophyta; Magnoliopsida; Poales; Poaceae.
AUGUCCUUCCCGAGCCGAGCGUCCCACUUGAACUCAAGUAGUAGCAGAGAGGGGGAGACAGAGGAGAGCAGAGAAACAGAGAGAGGACAGGAUUAUCGGAGCAUGGGGCUGCUGGCGCUCAAGCGGGAGCUCAAGCGGAACCAUGGCCGUAGCCAAUCCAAUAAAGGAUCGGCUGCUUCAUUAUCUAAAAGAGACAUAUCACCUUUCCAACAGGAUGAUAAUUCACACACGGAAAAAAGAAAGGAUGAUAAUUCUCAUGGUGGAAAAAAGGCAAGAUUUAUUGGUCCAGACCUUCCAGAGGAAAUCUGGCAUCAUAUACAUUCACUAGUGCCAAUGCGGGACGCGGCCAGGGCUGCCUGUGUGUCUCGUUCCUUUCUGAACUCAUGGAAAUGCCAUCAGAAUCUCGCCUUCACCAAUGAAACAAUGUGCUCAGAAGAAACAUCAUUGAAGGGAACAACUGACCCGAAUUAUAGAAGAAAUAGAAGAGAGUAUAACAACAAUAUUGACCGUAUUAUGGCAAAUCAUAGAGACGUCGGUGUGAAGACAUUCGAGCUUGAAUUCUAUGGUCCUUACAAUACCAAAUUUUAUAAUCGUCUCAAUAAUUGGCUUCAGAUUGUUGUUACACCAGUGAUGGAAAAACUUACACUUACACUUCCAUCGGAGAAGGCAAAGUAUGAGUUCCCUUGUUCACUUUUAUCUGACAGAAGUGGAAACACGAUAAGGCAUCUCGACCUUGCUAAUUGUAUCUUGCAUCCAACAGUUAACCUUAAUUUGAGAUGCCUGGCAGUAUUGGAUUUGUAUGAAGUGCAUAUCACAGGGGGUGAGUUAGCGUGCCUUCUUUCUAAUUCAUUUUCUCUGGAAAAAUUGACACUCCUACAUUGUCAUGAUAUGAUUCGCCUCGAGGUGCCUUGCCUGCUGCAGCGGCUAAGCCAUCUCGAGGUGUUUGAAUGCCCGAGACUUCAAGUUAUAGAGAACAAAGCUCCAAAUAUCUCCAGCUUUGAGUAUACAGGUAAUGAAGUAGUACAACUCUCACUUGGAGAAUCAUUGCAAGUGAAGUACCUUAGGUUGGAUUAUAGAUGUGCCAUCAGUCAUGCUAUCGACAAGCUUCCAUCCAGUGUGCCUAAUCUUGAGACUCUCAUAAUAAUUUCUCCUCGUGAGAUAGUCAAUGCACCAAUGAUACCUAGCAAAUUUCUCCACCUCAAGACCUUGAGUAUUACUAUUCGUAGGUGGUGGAGCCUCAAUAUGGAAUAUGAUUUUUUAUCUUUGGUUUCUUUCCUCGAUGCUUCUCCUUCCUUGGAGACUUUUGGCUUGUCUCUAUCAGUGGAGGCGAAGUAUGACUUGUUGGUUGGAGAUCCAUCAACCCUGAGGCAAAUGCCAGAACACCACCAUGACAAGCUCAAGAGUUUCCGGAUCACUGGUUUUUGCCCCCAAAGGAGCUUGGUUGAGCUAACACGCCAUAUUCUAGAGAGUUCAAUGUCAAUUAAGUGCCUUAUAUUAGACACUAUUAGGGUGAAUCGUCGGUGCUUUGGAAACAUAUCUAGGAAAUGCUCUACCCUGGACAAGGCGUAUAUCAAGGAGGCGUGCGAAUCGAUUGUGGCUAUAAAGACAUACAUUGAAGGAGUAGUUCCAUCUACAACUCGGUUACAUGUUCUGGGGCCUUGCAGCCGGUGUCAUGCUUUGUGA